This is a long non-coding RNA of Eupeodes corollae, 1663 nucleotides long. RefSeq lists it as uncharacterized. The transcript has 2 exons. NCBI's taxonomy places the organism in Eukaryota, Metazoa, Arthropoda, Insecta, Diptera, Syrphidae. The record is from RefSeq and is a predicted model, not a curated record.
AGGGUGACUUUGUGGCUUAUAUCCAUCGGUCAUGAAUAUGUGAAGUGCCCAAGCAGAGAAGAAAUUGCCCAAAAUAUGGCUACAAUGCAGGCAAAAACAAAGAUGCCAGGAAUUUUGGGAUGUAUUGACGGAUCACAUAUAAGAAUCAAGGCCCCGGUUUCAAACAAAGAAGAUUAUUUCAACAGAAAGCAUAGCUACAGCAUUCUACUGCAAGGUGUUGUUAAUGCAAGGAAAAAAUUUAUAAAUGCUUAAAAAAAAAACAAUAACUAUCAGCCCUAUUACGGUUGUCAAUUAUCAAUACGCUAGUUGACAUUUUUCAAGGAAAUUGAUGAAUUGGUAUUAUCGUUGUCAGCAAUCAAAAUUUUUGAUAAACUGUGAACGCUCUUCAGAAAUUAGAUUAAAUUAACACUCUUGGUAUUAUGGUUGUCAAAAUAUUUGUUAAUUAUCAAAGUCCCCUAUUACACGUUGACUCAUGACUCACGACUCACUUUUGACUUUUCUUUUACAUGUUGACUCGUGUCCCAUGCCUCAAAUUUGACAAUUAUUGUUUGUUUAGUUUUUGAAGUUGAGUAAAAUUUAUAAAACGAAAUAAAUAGGAUUUUGGAAAUGGAUUCCGAAAAUUUGUUAAAGCUGUUUAAGUUACACACUUUUCUGGUUUUCAAACAAAUUGGAUGUUGUUUAUCCCAGCAUCAAGAAAAUCGAAUGAAAAAGAACAGCAUAAAACGAAUAUGAGAAAAAAGAAACGUCAAAAUGAGUCUACUAAAAAUUUGCCCGAGACUCACCGGAAAUUUUUUUUUGCAUCUCAUUUUCUCAUAGUUGCUUUCUUUUUCGCACUCAUGUGAGUCGUGAGGCAUCGUGUAAUAGCAGACAAAUUUUCAGUCAAUCACAAAUUCCUUGUUGAUAAAAUAUUUUACGGAUCGCGAAAGCCAAAAGCAAGUCUACUAUUGAACUAUUUUUCGGCGAAAAUGAAAUUGAAGAAGAAAAUACUUUGGAGCAAGCAAAGAUUCGAAGAAAACUACGCGAUGCUUCAAAUCCGAUGGAUUUGGCUGAACAUAUAUUCAUUCACAACUUUCGAAAAAAAGCCUUCCUUAAUGUAUUUUUAGAUAUCAACGACAAGUUAAAACCAACGAAAAGACAACAAUCCAUCCCAAACAUACUAAAAUUUACAGCUGUCUUAAGAUUCCUUGCGCAAGGAAGCUACCAGUUGAGUGUUGGGAACGAUUUUAACAUUGGUAUGGCGCAACCAACCAACAAACUACUUACAUUUUUAAUCCAAAUCAACCAAAAUUCGUCACACGAAACAAAAGCCAGUCCUAGUCCGUUAAAAAAUUGUAAAUGAAAUUGAAACGUCAAAAGUAAAUAGGCACUAAUCACAAUAGAAUUUUGAUCUUUGUUCACAAUGGAUCAAAAAAUGAUCAACUCGCGUUCAUAAUACCAAUUUAUCAAUUAAUUGACAAAAUGUUUUAAUUGUCAAUUAAUUGAUCUUUGACAACCGUAAUAAGGCUGUAUACCUCUUUAAUUAAAACUAUAGGAACAUACAUACAAAAAAUAUCUCAUUUCAUUUCAUGUUUAAGAACGAAACCAUCACAAAUCCAUUUCUCAUUCAACACAAAAUACAAAUCAAAAGUAAUUCAAAAAAAUAAACAAAUUAAUUCAAAAACUA